UGGGGAAUUUUGGACAAUGGGGGCAACCCUGAUCCAGCGACGCCGCGUGAAGGAUGAAGGUCUUCGGAUUGUAAACUUCUUUUGGAGGGGAUGAAUGCCUACGUGAAAAACGUAGGGUGACAGUACUCUCUGAAUAAGCCACGGCUAACUACGUGCCAGCAGCCGCGGUAAUACGUAGGUGGCAAGCGUUACUCGGAAUCACUAGGCGUAAAGCGCAGGUAGGCGGUUUGGUAAGUCUGUUGUGAAAGCUCCUGGCUUAACUGGGAGAGGUCAACGGAAACUACCAGGCUCGAGUGUGGUAGAGGUAGCUGGAAUUCCCGGUGUAGCGGUGAAAUGCGUAGAUAUCGGGAGGAAUACCUAUGGCGAAAGCAGGCUACUGGACCAUCACUGACGCUGAUCUGCGAAAGCUAGGGGAGCAAACAG
RNAcentral lists this ribosomal RNA (423 nucleotides) under uncultured bacterium. Its description in RNAcentral is "bacterial SSU rRNA". It matches the Rfam family "Bacterial small subunit ribosomal RNA", at positions 355 to 775 of the family's 1533-position model. The record is from RNAcentral.